This is a long non-coding RNA of Pomacea canaliculata, 639 nucleotides long. RefSeq lists it as uncharacterized. Lineage: Eukaryota; Metazoa; Mollusca; Gastropoda; Architaenioglossa; Ampullariidae. The transcript is spliced from 3 exons. The record is from RefSeq and is a predicted model, not a curated record.
ACGGGACGCAUAUCCACAUUCAGGCGGCGAAAAUAAUGAGCACCAGUACGUGAAUGGAAAAUAUUUUCAUUCACUGAAUGUUCAGGUUAAUGUUUAUCAACGUGCUUGCAAAGUGGCAUCCAGGGUGUCUGCAGCCUUUGGAAGCAACUGUAGACUAUUGGACCGGGUCAUGCUAGGUGACAGUAGCUGCAUGAUAGGAGAGUGAUUGUUGACAUCAUUUCAGCAUCCUGCACCCUUGCAGGAAAGGAAAUACAACACAGCACAUAGCUGUACAUGCAACUGGGUCUGAAGAUGGAACCAGAUCAGGCAUGUGAAGUGACUGUGUUCUCAAUCGGGGAGAGCCAGACAAUGAUGGCGACAAUAAUGAUGUUGGACAUAACAAUGAUUUAAAUAAUGAAAAUCACUACAAUAAAAUCAAUGACACUGUUUCAGAACAUGAUGCUCCCACAGAAAGAGCCCAUGUUGCAGCAGGCCAAGCUGUCAGGAACCAAUCUGUUUAUAGACUUUUCUUGUAAAUAUGUUAAACCAUAAUUUUAUACAUUUCAGAACUAUUUUGAUAACGAAGUUAGAACAUCAACAAUAGACAUAGUCAACAGUUUAGAUGUAGGCCCAACAUGUGUUACAACAGGUCAAGCUGCU